AGUGAACGCUGGCGGUAGGCCUAACACAUGCAAGUCGAACGGCAGCACAGUAAGAGCUUGCUCUUACGGGUGGCGAGUGGCGGACGGGUGAGGUAUACAUCGGAAUCUACUUUUUCGUGGGGGAUAACGUCGGGAAACUUACGCUAAUACCGCAUACGACCUACGGGUGAAAGCAGGCGAUCUUCAGACGUUGCGCGAAUGGAUGAGCCGAUGUGGGAUUAGGUAGUUGGCGGGGUAAAGGCCUACCAAGGCGACGCUCCGUAGCUGGUCUGAGAGGAUGAGCAGCCACACUGGGAGUGAGACACGGCACAGACUCCUACGGGAGGCAGCAGUGGGGAAUCUUAGACAAUGGGGGCAAAGAUGAUCUAGCCAUGACGCGUGAGUGAUGAAGGCCUUAGGGAAGUAAAGCUCUUUAAGCUGGGAAGAUAAUGACGGUACCAGAAGAAGAAGCCCCGGCUAACUCCGUG
This 467-nucleotide ribosomal RNA is filed under the name uncultured bacterium. RNAcentral's name for it is "partial 16S ribosomal RNA". It matches the Rfam family "Bacterial small subunit ribosomal RNA", at positions 29 to 507 of the family's 1533-position model. The record is from RNAcentral.